CGCUAGUUCCAGUGGAGCCGUCCUUGAAAUACCACCCUGGUAAUGUUGAGGUUCUAACUCUGUCCCGUGAUCCGGGACGAGGACCGUGUCUGGUGGGUAGUUUGACUGGGGCGGUCUCCUCCUAAAGAGUAACGGAGGAGUACGAAGGUGCGCUCAGCGUGGUCGGAAAUCACGCGUAGAGUAUAAAGGCAAAAGCGCGCUUAACUGCGAGACCCACAAGUCGAGCAGGUACGAAAGUAGGUCUUAGUGAUCCGGUGGUUCUGUAUGGAAGGGCCAUCGCUCAACGGAUAAAAGGUACUCUGGGGAUAACAGGCUGAUACCGCCC
RNAcentral lists this ribosomal RNA (325 nucleotides) under Klebsiella pneumoniae. RNAcentral describes it as "partial 23S ribosomal RNA". It matches the Rfam family "Bacterial large subunit ribosomal RNA", at positions 2169 to 2493 of the family's 2925-position model. The record is from RNAcentral. Lineage: Bacteria; Pseudomonadati; Pseudomonadota; Gammaproteobacteria; Enterobacterales; Enterobacteriaceae.